GAGUUUGAUCGUGGCUCAGGAUGAACGCUGGCGGCGUGCCUAACACAUGCAAGUCGAACGGAGUUGUUCGAGGAAGUUUUCGGAUGGAAUCAAAUGACUUAGUGGCGGACGGGUGAGUAACGCGUGGGAAACCUGCCCUGUACCGGGGAGUAACACUUAGAAAUAGGUGCUAAUACCGCAUAAGCGCGACGGACCGCAUGGUCCAGUGUAGAAAACGUACCGGUGGUACGAGGAGUCGGUCCCG
Molecule: ribosomal RNA, 244 nt
Filed under: uncultured bacterium
Lineage: Bacteria
Description: partial 16S ribosomal RNA
Rfam family: Bacterial small subunit ribosomal RNA
Source: RNAcentral